RNAcentral lists this ribosomal RNA (514 nucleotides) under uncultured bacterium. RNAcentral's name for it is "bacterial SSU rRNA". It matches the Rfam family "Bacterial small subunit ribosomal RNA", at positions 15 to 518 of the family's 1533-position model. The record is from RNAcentral.
GAUCUGGCUCAGGACGAACGCUGGCGGCGUGCCUAACACAUGCAAGUCGAGCGGAGACAUGCGACGGAAGUGAAGUUUCGGAUGGAGCUGAAGAUGUAUGUUUAGCGGCGGACGGGUGAGUAACGCGUGAGCAACCUGUCCCUUACAGGGGGAUAACACAGCGAAAGUUGUACUAAUACCGCAUGAGACCACGGUGAGACAUCUCACAGGGGUCAAAGGAGCAAUCCGGUAAGGGGUGGGCUCGCGUCCGAUUAGAUAGUUGGUGAGGUAACGGCCCACCAAGUCGACGAUCGGUAGCCGACCUGAGAGGGUGAUCGGCCACAUUGGGACUGAGACACGGCCCAAACUCCUACGGGAGGCAGCAGUGGGGAAUAUUGGGCAAAUGGGGGAAACCCUGACCCAGCAACGCCGCGUGAGGGAAGAAGGUUUUCGGAUCGUAAACCUCUGUCCUUGGUGAAGAGAAAGAGACGGUAGCCAAGGAGGAAGCCCCGGCUAACUACGUGCCAGCCGCCGC